UGUGUCACAUACUGGCUCAAUAUUCUUCAGAAUAUUAAAGAAACAAGUCAACCCUUUUUUGUAACUCUAAAUCCUGAUCACAUACCAGAAAAUACCUUGCUUAAAUGGUCAACUGGUCAUCCAGUACCAUCAGUUGCUGCAUUCAAAGCCUCCUUAGAGCUAGACCAUAUUCAAGGGAAAAGAAAAAUUUGGUUUUCAGGGGCUUACCAAGGUAAUGGAUUUCAUGAAGAUGGAUUUAAGGUA
Vigna radiata var. radiata (mung bean) is the source of this 243-nucleotide long non-coding RNA. RefSeq lists it as uncharacterized. NCBI's taxonomy places the organism in Eukaryota, Viridiplantae, Streptophyta, Magnoliopsida, Fabales, Fabaceae. The transcript has 3 exons. The record is from RefSeq and is a predicted model, not a curated record.